RNAcentral lists this non-coding RNA (27 nucleotides) under Rattus norvegicus (Norway rat). Lineage: Eukaryota; Metazoa; Chordata; Mammalia; Rodentia; Muridae. The record is from RNAcentral.
UUGUCUGUGCCAUAGUACCUGGAUGCC